This 515-nucleotide long non-coding RNA is filed under the name Homo sapiens (human). RNAcentral describes it as "non-protein coding ZNF460-AS1:15". The record is from RNAcentral. Lineage: Eukaryota; Metazoa; Chordata; Mammalia; Primates; Hominidae.
AGUUUUUCCCUUACAUCUACCGGGUGUGGGAACUCACCCAGCGCAUCCGACUGCACAAUGAAAAAAAGUAGUUUUCCUUUACAAUGAGGCUUGGCCCCCAGGGCGAUGGUGCCACAAGCCAGAUCACUGGGACCACUCAGAGAAAGGGAACACAGAAGCCUGGCAUGCCAGCAAAAAGCAGGGUUUUUGUGAGCAGUGUCUUGCACCAAACUCCUGUCUCCUCCUGUGACUUAGAAUGCCUAACUUCCUGGGAAUGCAGCACAGGUCUCAGCCUCAUUUUGCCCAGCCCCUAUUCAAGACGGAUUUGCUGUGGUUCAAAUGCUUCUGACAAUAUUCCUCAUGGUGAAUGCUGGAUUUUGCAUGCCCGAGGCCCUGGGCCACACUGUAUGUUUGCUUUUUGCAAGGGCUGUAUGGCUAUGACUAGUUAUGUGGACCCUGCAUUCCUAUGUAAAUGACCCUCCAUAAAAACCCCAGAAAUGAAUGCUUGAGUGAACUUCCCUGGCUUGUAUUAUAAU